GGCUGGUCUGAGUACAGUGGUGUUUACAACUAAUUGAUUACAACUAAUUAGUUUACAACUAAUUGAACAAGCAGUUAUAGAUUCUUUUGUUCCUUCUCCACUCCUACUGCUUCACCUGACCAGCCUAAA
This 129-nucleotide Y RNA is filed under the name Microcebus murinus (gray mouse lemur). RNAcentral's name for it is "Y RNA (ENSMICG00000023975.3)". It matches the Rfam family "Y RNA". From Rfam's summary of the family: Y RNAs are components of the Ro ribonucleoprotein particle (Ro RNP), in association with Ro60 and La proteins. The Y RNAs and Ro60 and La proteins are well conserved, but the function of the Ro RNP is not known. The record is from Rfam by way of RNAcentral. Lineage: Eukaryota; Metazoa; Chordata; Mammalia; Primates; Cheirogaleidae.